UAAACAAAAGUUGUUUGUUUUAAAAUUAAGGUAGAACAGGACAACAUAUUGCUUUUUAUCUCAAGAAUGUCAAUAUUCUGACAAUUUGUUUCAUAACUUUAUCUAUGCUGGAAUUGGGUGAAAAUUCAGACUACGGUAAUUGGUUGGGAAAAUACUUGAUUAAGCCAGAAUGUUAGUUAAAUGUUGUUCAAAUGCCAACUAUUUCAAGUGUUCUUAAAUUUCAGCUGUUGUUAAUCAAAUUAUUCAUCAAACACUAAAUAAUGAUCCUCAGUUUUCUUCAUCUAUUGUAUCUGGAAAUAUUUCAUUUUUAUGUCAUGGAAAUCAAAAGGAAUUACAAAUUGAUUUAGGAGAUUUGAUAGAUGGUUAACAUUUUGUAAUACUAGUAUUUAAUUCUAGAAAAUAGAAAAUAUGGCAUCAUACCUUCUUUUAUGAAAAUAAAAAUCGUUCACAGCUUUAGAAUGUUGAAGUACAGUAUGUGAUUGUGCAAACCAUCUAGGCAUGAUAAACAAUACAUGUUUUUACUUCUGUGAAGUUGUCAUGUGAAUCUGAUGAGUUUGCUAAAUCUGAUGUCUCAUUUUUGGAAUCCUAUGCUUCGUGCAUGUUAAAGAACCCUUAAAACAACACCUGUUUAUGGGUCCUUCAGAUACCUAUUGUGACCAAAUAUUUGCUCUCACCCUACAUACUCUCUUUUUUUUAGGACAAUUCCAGUAAGUCAAUCCACUUUCCAGAACCUACCUAUUUGAUAUAUUGUUAAUUUCCUUCUUGUUUUGAAUAUGCAUGAAAAUAGCUACUAAACCCUUGAUAAAAAAAUCUUUUGAGCAUAAACGAAGUGUCAUUUUAUAUUAUUAUACUUCACAUUAAAAUGCCAUAUUUUAAUUGGCUAAUAUGAGGGUGUUAAUUUACUCUAUCACAUGGCUGAGAGGGUAACAUUUGUUUUGAAUGUCACCUUCUCAUACCAAUCAAAAUCGAUAAUUUAAAGGGCAAUGCAUUGAAUUUACAUCAAGUUAUUAAAGACAAUGCUUAAGUUUUACAUUUUAGCUCAGAUUCUAUUAUUUGACUCAAAAUAAAAGAAAUAAAACAUCUUGCUUUACUUCUGUUGAUUGUUCUGAUACCUGUAAUGUUGUUAUGUAUGUCAUGUCCCUAGAAAAUACUUUUUAAAUAAAUUUUAUCUGUAAAAGACAAUAAAAAUAGGACAUUCAGUAUAAUAAAUUAAAUAACACAUAUAUUUACCUCGAGAAAAAGCAUUGUCAACCUUGGCUUCGCUGCGGUUGACAAUGUUUUCUCAGGGUACCAAAUUCUACUCUAUCACCCUCUCAACUAUGUGUUAUUUAUAUAAUGGUCAGAGGUAACAGCUGUAAAGUUUUUAAUCAUUCUUAUUUAAUAAAGAUCUGUAUCAUUUUAAAGUCAUUCUUUCCUUUCAUAAGAUGGCAGGCCUUUUCACAAAACAUCUUAGAAUAUGAGCUGUGUAGGAUAAAAAUAAAUUUUGUGCAAGUGCCAUGACAUUGUAUACAUGUGCAUUAUAAGACUUUGAUCGGUUUUAUCGGCUUACUUUCCAAACCGUUACGGACUUUGUAUAGAGUUUUUUUCAUCCCGAAAUAAGUUAACAGAUGUAUUGAUAUUCAUUUACAUAAGGUCAGUUUCUAUCUGAUUCUCCUCAUAUGACUA
Molecule: long non-coding RNA, 1665 nt
Filed under: Mytilus galloprovincialis (Mediterranean mussel)
Lineage: Eukaryota; Metazoa; Mollusca; Bivalvia; Mytilida; Mytilidae
Source: RNAcentral